GCGGUGAAAUGCGUAGAUAUCGGGAGGAACACCAGUGGCGAAGGCGACUACCUGGCCUGUUCUUGACGCUGAGGCGCGAAAGCUGGGGGAGCAAACGGGAUUAGAUACCCCGGUAGUCCCAGCCGUAAACGAUGGACACUAGGUGUUGGUGGUAUCAACCCCGCCAGUGCCGUAGCUAACGCAUUAAGUGUCCCGCCUGGGGAGUACGGCCGCAAGGCUAAAACUCAAAGGAAUUGACGG
Molecule: ribosomal RNA, 240 nt
Filed under: uncultured bacterium
Lineage: Bacteria
Description: partial 16S ribosomal RNA
Rfam family: Bacterial small subunit ribosomal RNA
Source: RNAcentral